AUUCCCUGGGGAGAUGACUGUACUCGUAGAAGAAGCCCCGGCUAACUACGUGCCAGCAGCCGCGGUAAUACGUAGGGGGCGAGCGUUUUUCGGAUUUACUGGGUGUAAAGGGCGCGUAGGCGGAUUUGUAAGUCAGAGGUGAAAUCCCGGAGCUUAACUGGAGAACUGCCUUUGAUACUGCUUAUCUUGAGUUCGGCAGAGGGGAGGGGAAUUCCAGGUGUCGCAGUGAAAUGCGUAGAUAUGGGGAAGAACACCAAUGGCGAAGGCGGCCUCUUGGUCCGUCACUGACGCUGAGGCGCGAAAGCGUGGGGAGCAAACAGGAUUAGAUACCCUGGUAGUCCACGCCGUAAACGAUGA
RNAcentral lists this ribosomal RNA (357 nucleotides) under uncultured bacterium. RNAcentral's name for it is "bacterial SSU rRNA". It matches the Rfam family "Bacterial small subunit ribosomal RNA", at positions 451 to 812 of the family's 1533-position model. The record is from RNAcentral.